This is a long non-coding RNA of Lytechinus pictus (painted urchin), 3681 nucleotides long. RefSeq lists it as uncharacterized. Lineage: Eukaryota; Metazoa; Echinodermata; Echinoidea; Temnopleuroida; Toxopneustidae. The record is from RefSeq and is a predicted model, not a curated record. The transcript is spliced from 4 exons.
GUCACACUCAAAGAACACCCGUCUCGGUAGGCAUUGCAGGAGCGAACUCAGGGAAAAUGGGUAGGGAUAAAUCGUUCAAAUUCACUAUUUUGAAAAAAGAAAAUGGGGGGUCGAAUCACCUAUUAGUGUUUGGGGGGUUGUAAGGUUGCUAUUAAUGUAAAUAUCUCAAUAUUUGGAAUCGUCUUCUUAAUUCAACUUUAACAUUAACUUAUUGAUCUAUUUUUUAAUUGAAACGACGUUGACGAAGGCAAUUACGAUGAAUCCAUGAAUAAAACGCCCGAUGUCAACCCUAUUGAAACGCACUGGGGUGAUGAAACGAGGGCACAAUAGCGGGAAAUUUGAAAAGGCUGACGAGACAGGCGCGAGAUAGGAAUGUAAGCUAGCCUACACAAUGCUGAGAGAAGGAAUGACAUUUUAAACAGCGUAUAAAAUGUUCUCCUAUGACAAGACAUCCGAGAGACUUUCUUUUCCUGAUAUUUCUGCGGAUGUGAGGACAAUUUAAUAAUGGAAACUUCAGGAACUCAUUUGGAUGUGAUCUCAAACAUUUGUUAUUACCAGGUUGAUGUAAGAGUGCCAAAAGCUUGUCAUCGUGGUUUUGAGAUUACAUUACACACACACAGAGGGCCUUUUUGGAAGAUAUACCAUGAUUGUAAAACAACCCAUAUGAAUAUCACAGUAGUUGUCAAAGUGGGCGAACCGAUGACGUCACCUACUCACUGUUUCUUUUAGGCUUAUGUUCUCUGAUCUAUCUAUUUGAUGCAUGGGUUGACGUCUCCUUCCAACAAGAGCCCUAGAUGGCUUUUCUGCCGUGACAUCACUCUAUUUUCGAUGAGCUGAUAAACAGACUGCACAAGAAUGAACCUGACAUCGACCAAGACUUCUAUCCCUCUGAAUACGAUCAAUGUUAGCCUCAUGCAUGCUGAGCCACUAUUGGAAAUUGAAUAGGCCUAUGCUAGAGUAUACAUCACCAUCAGCGAGGAAUGGAGCAGGUUUUUAUCAGGAGGUGAUGGCGGGACAGGUGGAUAGAAUUCAGAAUGCUGCUUGGAAGGCAUCCUUAUGCGACUGUCUAAUACCGCGAGAUGAGGUGUGACGUCAUAGUUCACUGGCCAUUGCGAUGUCCUUCGCUAGAGGACCGAUAAUGUUACCAUAAGGAGAAGGAAUAUAGGGUGUGGACGAUGUAUUUCAGUCGACAAUGUAUUAAUACGAUUGUCAUGAUAAUUGGCCCAAGUUCACUCCAUACAGUCUCAUUAUGGUGAGGGGUGAACAAGGAUUCAGUUGGGCAACGGGAAUGUUCAAGAGGACGCUUAUACAGCAGGAUUCAAUGCAACAAAAAAGUCAACCACCCUUAUCUACUUUGCGCGCGGGGAAAAUAAAAUGCAUUUUAGACAUUACCUGUAUGUGGAUGCUCGAUUGAAUUCUGUUUUAGUAUAAAGCGUUCUAUGGGACAUUCCCGUGCUGUAAUGAUGUCUCUCAAAGUCCAAAAGAAGAGGUGGUAUUUAUUUUUUUCUCUUAUCAAACAUGCAUUAUAAAGUUUGUUUAAAAACCUUAUUUUGGACAUGAGACCUGAUUGGCGCCACUUUAAGAAUGUACAAAUAAAAAGGACAUCCAGCACCACCUCCCCGCCUCGGGGAAAAAUUGUUGGAAGGGCGCAAAAGUAAUGCUUGCCCCGGAUGGCAUGCAGGAAAAAUGCAACGUUUUACGCCACUUUGUAGGUCUACUGAUCUCCAUUAGGAUUUUGGAUCAAAUCAUCAUUGAAUAAUUACUUGUUGAUUUUACAGUUGUGCUAAAAAUUAGUGAACCCCACAACAAAACGCACCUUUUCAUGCUGAGUGUAGAAUGCAGACAACAGCACUGCAAUGUUCUGCGAGCCUACUUAGGCUAGAGAAACAAACUUUAUCUAAUGUAUUAUUUUAUCGCCUGACUUCACAAGACAGAACUUGAGCACUUAAAAUAUGUUCAUUAUCUGGUAGGAUUCACUAACUUGAGUACCACUGUAGUACUCCAAAGUUUUUAUGAAAAUAUAUAAUUAUCUUAUUUUGAAUGUAAACCUUAUAUUGCAUUGAGUAUUUGAAUAAUUAUAAAAACGAUCCACGUACAUGAUCUUGUGUGUAAUUAAUAAUUCUGCAAAACCACAAAGAAUCACCCCAAAAUGAACGAAAAAGAGGACUAAAAUAAAAACAGUUUCACAUUUCUUCAAUUUUCUUGAUUAACUUGAAAUGAACUAUCGUGGACUUUCGUGGUUAUUGUUAAAUUCAUAUACUCAAUUAGUGGUUUCCUUUUCGUUUUUUUUUUUAUUACUAUUGCGUGGUUCAUGAUUAUACUAUGUAAUUCAUUGAAAUUUGCAGAAUUAAAACAUUUGAAGGAAUAGAUAACUAAGCCCGAAUUCUGAAUAGAUUAGAUCGAUAGAUACAUAGAUAGAUAAGUAGAUAGAUAGGUAGAUAGAGAGAGGGGAGGAGAGAUAGGACUAUGCUAAACAUAGAAUGAUUGCUCUCAUCUGAUUUAUUUUAGAUCCACAGCAUUUUAUUUUAUCAAGCGAUUAUGCAUAGAAUAUGAAAAGUUAAAAUGUACAAUUUUCGGCUUUCAAUUGUUGAUACAGUGUAUCUCCCAAAUUCUUGGUAAAGAAUGAAAUAUGGUAGGCCUUUUUUUCUGAACUACCGUUUAUAGUAAUCAGAAAUGUAAGUUCCUCUGGAAUCGACAUUCGGGCUAAAUGCGAGAGUUUUGCCCUAGUGUCUGGAGUGGACAGUUGAUUAUUAAAUGGCAAUUUUGUUAUGGUCACCGCACACCUUAAGACUAGUCUACGCUCCGAUUUAGGGGAAAGCCAAAUGAAUAGUUCUUUUUACCUGAAGUUCCAAUUAACUGUAUGAAUACUAAUAUAAAAAUUGUGGAUAAAUGAAAAGUCUUCUUUUGGCGGAAAGGCUAAAUUGGUUACAAAUCGUAGCCGAUGUUAAGCUUGCUACGACGUCAUUACGAUUAGAUAUUAAAUUCGUUUUUAUUCUAAGGAUAAUAAUCAUAGUCACGGAUUUACGAUGAUUCACUACUUUGCACAGUAAGACGUGCCAAGUCUAGAAUAUUCGGAUCAAACGUAACAACGUUUUAUCGUAAAAUCGGGUCGCAGAUCAGUCGUAAGGUGUGCGGUUGCCUUAAUCUCCGUUUGGUUAUUUGUAUUCAUUCUCGUAUUGAUUUCGUGUAAAACCUGCCCCCCUCGCUACCUCCUCUGUCUCUUCUUGAAGUCUAUUUCAUCAUAAACCAUUCCCACUAUCUCUCAACUGUCAUCUCUUUGUUUUUAUAUUGACAAUUUGCAUUCAUUAUUUCAACCAUCAUUUCUUUGUAAAUCUUUCAAACUUUCUUUCUCAACCCAAUAAAACAAUCCUCUCCCCUUCUCUAUCUCUUCCAUGUAAAUAUGUACUUUCCUGUAACCCAUUCUUAAAUAUCAUUCGCUAUACUUCAAAUUUUGAAUUCAUACUUUAUUAUUCUAUCCCCCCCCCAAAAAAAAAAUGCAUUUCACUCCCUAUUCUCACUCAUGUUUUUUUUGCAUUCUUUGUUUAUUUCAAUUUUCAGUAAUCUCUUUCACGUCAGUACUAUUUUAUCAAUUAAUGUUGGUCUAUAUCUCUUGCUCCGUCACAUCAAACUUAAGCCAUGACUGUCAUUGGUUACUUUCUCUAUUAAAAACUUUUCAUUUCA